This 804-nucleotide unclassified non-coding RNA is filed under the name Hevea brasiliensis (rubber tree). The record is from RNAcentral. Lineage: Eukaryota; Viridiplantae; Streptophyta; Magnoliopsida; Malpighiales; Euphorbiaceae.
GAUUGGGAGGUGGACAUCGAUGGGCUUGAAGCUCUAGCAGAUGAUAAAACUGUUGCCAUGGUUGUUAUAAACCCCGGUAAUCCAUGUGGGAAUGUGUACGAGCGAGAGCAUUUGAAGAAGAUUGCAGAGGCAGCAAGUAAGCUUGGAAUGCUAGUAAUAUCAGAUGAAGCCUACGGUCAUCUAGUGUUCGGUAGUAAUCCGUUUGUGCCAAUGGGCGUCUAUGGAGAAAUUGCACCUAUUCUGACAAUUGGCUCCAUAUCAAAGAGAUGGAUGGUUCCUGGUUGGCGAUUUGGAUGGAUCGUGAUGUGUGAUCCCAAUGGCAUCCUUCAAAAACAUGGGGUUGCGGAGUCUAUCAAGAACUACCUCAACAUCGGUGUUGGUCCUCCUACAUUCACUCUGGGUGCUAUUCCUCGUAUUCUUGUUGAAACACCUGAAGAUUUCUACUCAAAUAUCAUAAACCUACUGAGAAAAGCAGCAGACAUUUGCUAUGCUGGCCUAAGGGAGAUUCCGUGCUUUACUCCAUACAAGUCACAGGGAUCCAUGUUUCUUAUGGCAAAACUAAACAUGUCAUUGCUGGAAGGCAUCGACAAUGAUAUGGAGUUCUGCACUAGGCUUGCUAGAGAGGAAUCUGCAAUUGUUCUACCCGGAGAAGCGCUUGGAUUGAAGAAUUGGGUAAGAGUUACAUUUGCUGUGGAAAUUUCAGCUCUUGAGGAUGGCCUUAGCAGGAUCAAAGCCUUUUGUUUCAGAAAUGCCAAACAACAAUAAGCCAUUUUUCUUUCUGUCAAACUUUGUCCAAGUCUAACA